GAUCAUGGCUCAGGAUGAACGCUGGCGGCGUGCUUAACACAUGCAAGUCGAACGAUGAUGCCCACUUGUGGGUGGAUUAGUGGCGAACGGGUGAGUAACACGUGAGUAACCUGCCCUUGACUCUGGGAUAAGCCUGGGAAACUGGGUCUAAUACCGGAUAUGACUGACUAUCGCAUGGUGGUUGGUGGAAAGCUUUUGUGGUUUUGGAUGGACUCGCGGCCUAUCAGCUUGUUGGUGGGGUAAUGGCCUACCAAGGCGACGACGGGUAGCCGGCCUGAGAGGGUGACCGGCCACACUGGGACUGAGACACGGCCCAGACUCCUACGGGAGGCAGCAGUGGGGAAUAUUGCACAAUGGGCGCAAGCCUGAUGCAGCGACGCCGCGUGAGGGAUGACGGCCUUCGGGUUGUAAACCUCUUUCAGUAGGGAAGAAGCGAAAGUGACGGUACCUGCAGAAGAAGCGCCGCAAG
RNAcentral lists this ribosomal RNA (469 nucleotides) under bacterium 5C-5. RNAcentral describes it as "bacterial SSU rRNA". It matches the Rfam family "Bacterial small subunit ribosomal RNA", at positions 15 to 500 of the family's 1533-position model. The record is from RNAcentral.